AAUGGGGGAAACCCUGACCCAGCAACGCCGCGUGAAGGAAGAAGGCCUUCGGGUUGUAAACUCCUGUGACAGGGGACGAAAGAAAUGACGGUACCCUGAGAGGAAGCCAAGGCAAACUACGUGCCAGCAGCCGCGGUAACACGUAGGUGGCGAGCGUUGUCCGGAAUCACUGGGCGUANAGGGCGCGUAGGCGGUUUUGCAAGUCGCAUGUGAAAUAACAGGGCUCAACUCUGGGAGGUCAUGCGAAACUGCAGGACUUGAGUGCAGUAGAGGGAAGCGGAAUUCCUGGUGUAGCAGUAAAAUGCGUAGAGAUCAGGAGGAACACCGGUGGCGAAGGCGGCUUCCUGGACUGUAACUGACGCUGAGGCGCGAAAGCGUGGGGAGCAAA
RNAcentral lists this ribosomal RNA (388 nucleotides) under uncultured bacterium. Its description in RNAcentral is "bacterial SSU rRNA". It matches the Rfam family "Bacterial small subunit ribosomal RNA", at positions 370 to 772 of the family's 1533-position model. The record is from RNAcentral.